This 275-nucleotide ribosomal RNA is filed under the name Pichia kudriavzevii. RNAcentral describes it as "partial 28S ribosomal RNA". It matches the Rfam family "Eukaryotic large subunit ribosomal RNA", at positions 1 to 277 of the family's 3401-position model. The record is from RNAcentral. Lineage: Eukaryota; Fungi; Ascomycota; Pichiomycetes; Pichiales; Pichiaceae.
GCUCGACCUCAAAUCAGGUAGGAAUACCCGCUGAACUUAAGCAUAUCAAUAAGCGGAGGAAAAGAAACCAACAGGGAUUGCCUCAGUAGCGGCGAGUGAAGCGGCAAGAGCUCAGAUUUGAAAUCGUGCUUUGCGGCACGAGUUGUAGAUUGCAGGUUGGAGUCUGUGUGGAAGGCGGUGUCCAAGUCCCUUGGAACAGGGCGCCCAGGAGGGUGAGAGCCCCGUGGGAUGCCGGCGGAAGCAGUGAGGCCCUUCUGACGAGUCGAGUUGUUGGA